This 1008-nucleotide long non-coding RNA is filed under the name Sinocyclocheilus anshuiensis. Its description in RNAcentral is "lncRNA (ENSSANG00000037070.1)". Lineage: Eukaryota; Metazoa; Chordata; Actinopteri; Cypriniformes; Cyprinidae. The record is from RNAcentral.
UUCACUCCUGUCACAGUCUUGUUGUCUCUGUACGUGUGAGUCUCUGUGAGUGCUGUGAGGUUUCUGACAGACUUUGUGUGAAUCAGGGUCUCAGGAAGACGGAACAUUGGGAACGUCAGGAUGUCUGUCUCAAGAGGAGUUAUCAGAACAGGCUUCACAGGCCCAGGAUCUUGAGAGACUGGCUCAGCUCUGCAUCAUGAGCAAAAGACCCCACCUUGCUUUAGAAUACAGUGGCAAGGCCACUAAAAUCCACCAGAGGGCUUUUGGUAACGAUCACCCCAUCACAGCCCGGAGUCUGGAGCUGCUGGCCACUGUCUAUGCUGAGAUCGGCAAAACAGAAUAUACAAAUUCAUUGGGAGAGUGUGUGUCAACUCUUUCCAAAAGGUUCUCAGCCACCGAGUCAUUCAGUGAUGCUCUGAGUAGCAUCUCUCAUAGCCAUAAAGACAGACACUCUGAGCUGCGACACAGAAAAGAGCCAUACAUACAACAGGAAACUCCUAAAUCGAAGGUCAUAAAUGAAAAACUGCCCACCUCUAUUCUGAAAAGGUCCAAUGUGAGCAAUGUGGAGUCAGACUCAUCGCGCAGGCGAAAAAGCGAGAGGCGGGUUCGCUUCAGACAGCCGGAGAUCACUGUUCAUGUCUACGACACCCCCCAGAGCCGUUUGCACCUGGCCCUGCUCACCUGCCUGUUUCUGCUUCUGUCUGCGCUGGGUCUAGCACUGUACUGCACGGACCGCCGAAGACCCCAGCGCGCCUGCGAAGAGCUGCAGACGGCACUGGCUGUGUACCUGCUUCAGUUCAAACAGAUCGUUUGGGCCUGCUGGAUCUGGCUGACCAUGCAAUGACCAUAACUGACCACAGGGGGCAGCAAUGGGCAGGAAAAAAAAAACAUAAAAGGUCAGGAUGUUUUUUGAAGGACUGUGGAGGAAAAAAAGAUAAAGGUCCUCUUGUUUUUUUUUUUUAUUGCUUUAUUUUCACUGUUAUAAUCAGACUGGCCACCAGUCGAAGC